RNAcentral lists this ribosomal RNA (221 nucleotides) under uncultured bacterium. RNAcentral's name for it is "partial 16S ribosomal RNA". It matches the Rfam family "Bacterial small subunit ribosomal RNA", at positions 13 to 222 of the family's 1533-position model. The record is from RNAcentral.
UUGAUCAUGGCUCAGAUUGAACGCUGGCGGCAAGGCCUAACACAUGCAAGUCGAGCGGAUGACGGGAGCUUGCUCCUAUGAUAUCAGCGGCGGACUGGGUGAGUAAAUGCCUAGGAAUCUGCCAUGGUAGUGGGGGACAACGUUUACGAAAGUGAACGCUAAUACCGACAUACGUCCUACGNGGAGAAAGCAGGGNGACCUUCUGAGUGCCUUGCGCAUUA